RNAcentral lists this long non-coding RNA (463 nucleotides) under Homo sapiens (human). RNAcentral describes it as "HSALNT0292317". The record is from RNAcentral. Lineage: Eukaryota; Metazoa; Chordata; Mammalia; Primates; Hominidae.
CUAUGAGACACUACCUCCCAUAUCCUUAUCUCUUCCUGUUCCACAGAAGGCUAGAAAACAGGAAAGCAAUAUGGAAACUCUAAUGUGGACCUCCACAGGAACAAAUCAUAUCCAUGUCAGGCGGCACCAAACCUAAAUCUGCUUCUGCCUCAGCAGACAGGACAUGUUGAGUUUGGCCAGUGAGUGCUGCAGGAUACUGGAGGGAGGGCAACAGAGAGGAAGGUUGUUCCCAAGAGAACUACACAAACAAUGACUGAAUGAAGAGCAAAUAAUUAUUACAUUAACAAUUGUCUAAGUACUCUAUUUUCUAAUGCAAGACCAUCUUCCACAGGAAGCCCUUCAUUGACCUGCUCAGAUGAACUCAGCUAUGUGACCUGCAAGUUUAUUCUUCCACUUAUUAUACUUACUUUAUCACUAUUUGUUCAGUGACUUCCCCAGGAGCAAUUAAAGCAGAAACCAUGCA